Molecule: transfer RNA, 76 nt
Filed under: Leptothrix discophora
Lineage: Bacteria; Pseudomonadati; Pseudomonadota; Betaproteobacteria; Burkholderiales; Sphaerotilaceae
Also listed under: 2 other names
Description: tRNA-Gly
Rfam family: tRNA
About the family: Transfer RNA (tRNA) molecules are approximately 80 nucleotides in length. Their secondary structure includes four short double-helical elements and three loops (D, anti-codon, and T loops).
Source: RNAcentral
GCGGGAAUAGCUCAGUUGGUAGAGCGCAACCUUGCCAUGGUUGAGGUCGCGAGUUCGAGUCUCGUUUCCCGCUCCA